AUGGCGAAGCUCCCACCCGAGGGGACUGCAAGGGCGGUCGCCGGUGCCGCAGGGGAUGAAGCAUCCACCAUCGCGGCCGCAUCGUGUCGUGUAGCAGCAACCCCCGUCGUCACCAGCGUUGCUUUGCCCAUCAUCAUCGCAUGCUUCAUCGCGGCAAUGGCGUCCGCCGUCGGGCUACGAUGGAGCGCCAACAAGCGGUGGCGGCGGCGCUGCAGUGCAACUCCGUCGGCGGCGCCGUCGGGGUGCUACGGUGGAGUCCGCCGUGCCGGUGCGAGCUGCAGUGAAACAUCGUCGGUGGCGUCGGGUGCUGAGAUGGAGCCUCGAUGGAGCACUUCCGCGUUGGCGUCAACGCUGCAGCGAAGCAUCGCCGGCGACGGUGGGUGCUGUGAUGGAGCGCCACAGGGGGGGAGGGGGCGUUGA
Molecule: ribosomal RNA, 420 nt
Filed under: Triticum aestivum (bread wheat)
Lineage: Eukaryota; Viridiplantae; Streptophyta; Magnoliopsida; Poales; Poaceae
Description: partial small subunit ribosomal RNA
Source: RNAcentral